This 373-nucleotide ribosomal RNA is filed under the name uncultured bacterium. RNAcentral's name for it is "bacterial SSU rRNA". It matches the Rfam family "Bacterial small subunit ribosomal RNA", at positions 32 to 381 of the family's 1533-position model. The record is from RNAcentral.
AAUCAACGCUGGCGGCGUGCCUAACACAUGCAAGUCGAACGCGAAAGGGGGCUUCGGCUCCUAAGUAGAGUGGCGUCCGGGUGAGUAACACGUAGGUAAUCUGCCUUCGGGUGGGGAAUAACCAGUCGAAAGAUUGGCUAAUACCGCAUAAUGCAGCGGCACCUAAAUGGUGAUUAGUUGUUAAAGACGGGGGAGUCGUAAGACCUCGCGCCUGAAGAGGAGCCUGCGGCAGANAGCUAGUUGGUGAGGUAAUGGCUCACCAAGGCUUCGAUCUGUAGCUGGUCUGAGAGGACGGCCAGCCACACUGGCACUGACACACGGGCCAGACUCCUACGGGAGGCAGCAGUGGGGAAUUUUGGGCAAUGGGCGAAAG